CAUGUGCCCUUCUUCUCCAUC
Molecule: microRNA, 21 nt
Filed under: Zea mays
Lineage: Eukaryota; Viridiplantae; Streptophyta; Magnoliopsida; Poales; Poaceae
Description: zma-miR164h-3p
Gene: zma-miR164c-3p
Source: miRBase by way of RNAcentral